RNAcentral lists this ribosomal RNA (456 nucleotides) under uncultured bacterium. Its description in RNAcentral is "bacterial SSU rRNA". It matches the Rfam family "Bacterial small subunit ribosomal RNA", at positions 340 to 786 of the family's 1533-position model. The record is from RNAcentral.
UACGGAAGGCAGCAGUGGGGAAUAUUGCACAAUGGGCGCAAGCCUGAUGCAGCCAUGCCGCGUGUAUGAAGAAGGCCUUCGGGUUGUAAAGUACUUUCAGUCGUGAGGAAGGUGUUAAGGUUAAUAACCUUAGCAAUUGACGUUAGCGACAGAAGAAGCACCGGCUAACUCCGUGCCAGCAGCCGCGGUAAUACGGAGGGUGCGAGCGUUAAUCGGAAUUACUGGGCGUAAAGGGCACGCAGGCGGUUAAUUAAGUUGGAUGUGAAAUCCCCGGGCUUAACCUGGGAAUGGCAUUCAAGACUGGUUAGCUAGAGUCUUGUAGAGGGGGUAGAAUUCCAUGUGUAGCAGUGAAAUGCGUAGAGAUGUGGAGGAAUACCGGUGGCGAAGGCGGCCCCCUGGGACAAAGACUGACGCUCAUGUGCGAAAGCGUGGGGAGCAAACAGGGAUUAGGAUACC